GAUGAACGCUGGCGGCGUGCCUAAUACAUGCAAGUCGAGCGAACAGACGAGGAGCUUGCUCCUCUGACGUUAGCGGCGGACGGGUGAGUAACACGUGGAUAACCUACCUAUAAGACUGGGAUAACUUCGGGAAACCGGAGCUAAUACCGGAUAAUAUAUUGAACCGCAUGGUUCAAUAGUGAAAGACGGUUUUGCUGUCACUUAUAGAUGGAUCCGCGCCGCAUUAGCUAGUUGGUAAGGUAACGGCUUACCAAGGCAACGAUGCGUAGCCGACCUGAGAGGGUGAUCGACCACACUGGAACUGAGACACGGUCCAGACUCCUACGGGAGGCAGCAGUAGGGAAUCUUCCGCAAUGGGCGAAAGCCUGACGGUGCAACGCCGCGUGAGUGAUGAAGGUCUUCGGAUCGUAAAACUCUGUUAUUAGUGAAGAACAAAUGUGUAAGUAACUAUGCACGUCUUGACGGUACCUAAUCAGAAAGCCACGGCUAACUUCGUG
Molecule: ribosomal RNA, 497 nt
Filed under: uncultured bacterium
Lineage: Bacteria
Description: partial 16S ribosomal RNA
Rfam family: Bacterial small subunit ribosomal RNA
Source: RNAcentral